UGACGAUGGACAUUGCAAAGAGUGGCGAACGGGUGAGUAACACGUGGGAAACCUACCUCUUAGCAGGAAAUAACAUUUGGAAACAGAUGCUAAUACCGUAUAACAAUGACAACCGCAUGGUUGUUAUUUAAAAGAUGGUUCUGCUAUCACUAAGAGAUGGUCCCGCGGUGCAUUAGCUAGUUGGUAAGGUAAUGGCUUACCAAGGCGAUGAUGCAUAGCCGACCUGAGGGGGUAAUCGGCCACACUGGGACUGAGACACGGCCCAGACUCC
This 271-nucleotide ribosomal RNA is filed under the name uncultured Weissella sp. RNAcentral's name for it is "partial 16S ribosomal RNA". It matches the Rfam family "Bacterial small subunit ribosomal RNA", at positions 75 to 339 of the family's 1533-position model. The record is from RNAcentral. Lineage: Bacteria; Bacillati; Bacillota; Bacilli; Lactobacillales; Lactobacillaceae.